This is a non-coding RNA of Cinara cedri, 210 nucleotides long. The record is from the annotation of a GenBank genome assembly. Lineage: Eukaryota; Metazoa; Arthropoda; Insecta; Hemiptera; Aphididae.
UAUUAUUGUACAGUACAGUUUCGUACGUGUAUUAAGUACAGUUCUACAGAAUAUUAUAGUGUACGUCCGUGUUCGACCUUCCACUCCGGACGAUAAUGAGUGAUCGUAAAGUCGGGUUUACACGGUACGAAUUGCGUUGCGCUAUGCAAGCCGCCACACGCGACCGGUGUGAACGUUCGUAUAACUAUUCCAUACGCAGGUAUGUUUUUU